GCGGAGGAAAAGAAAAUAACAAUGAUUUCCCUAGUAACGGCGAGUGAAGAGGAAAGAGCUCAAAGUUGGAAACUGUUUGGCUUAGCUAAACCGUAUUGUAAACUGUAGAAACAUUUUCCUGGCACACCAGAUUAAUAAGUCCUUUGGAACAAGGCAUCAUGGAGGGUGAGAAUCCCGUCUUUGAUCUGAGUAGUUGUCUUUUGUGAUAUGUUUUCAAAGAGUCAGGUUGUUUGGGAAUGCAGCCUAAAUUGGGUGGUAAAUCUCACCUAAAGCUAAAUAUUUGCGAGAGACCGAUAGCGAACAAGUACCGUGAGGGAAAGAUGAAAAGAACUUUGAAAAGAGAGUUAAACAGUAUGUGAAAUUGUUAAAAGGGAACCGUUUGGAGCCAGACUGGUUUGUCUGUAAUCAACCUAGAAUUCGUUUUGGGUGCACUUGCAGACUAUACCUGCCAACAACAGUUUGAUUUGGAGGAAAAAAUUAAUAGGAAUGUAGCCUCUCGAGGUGUUAUAGACUAUUAUCAUACUCUGGAUUGGACUGAGGAACGCAGCGAAUGCCUUUAGGCAAGAUUGCUGGGUGCUUUCGCUAAUAAAUGUUAGAAUUUCUGCUUCGGGUGGUGCUAACGUUUAAAGGAGGAACACAUCUAGUAUAUUUUUUAUUCGCUUAGGUUGUUGGCUUAAUGACUCUAAAUGAC
This 691-nucleotide ribosomal RNA is filed under the name Mucor bainieri. Its description in RNAcentral is "eukaryotic LSU rRNA". It matches the Rfam family "Eukaryotic large subunit ribosomal RNA", at positions 50 to 648 of the family's 3401-position model. The record is from RNAcentral. Lineage: Eukaryota; Fungi; Mucoromycota; Mucoromycetes; Mucorales; Mucoraceae.